Molecule: long non-coding RNA, 2678 nt
Filed under: Sus scrofa (pig)
Lineage: Eukaryota; Metazoa; Chordata; Mammalia; Artiodactyla; Suidae
Description: lncRNA (ENSSSCG00015005412.1)
Source: RNAcentral
UUUUUUUUUUUUGGCCAUGCCCAUGGCAUGUGGAAAUUCCUGUGCCAGGGACUGAACCCGAGCCACAGCAGUGCCAAUGCCAAAUCCUCAACCACUAGGUCACCAGAGAACUCCAAUUUGGUAAAAUUUUUAAACCAAUACACAUUCAGAUGUUUUAUUUAGAUAUAUAUAUGUUCAGAUGUUCCAUGGUUCUGAGGGAAAUUUUAUGAAAUACUGCAAUUCUUCGCUCAAGUAAUAAAUGAGAACCAAUAUUUAUGAGAUUCUUAUCAAUAUCUAAAUAUUUUUAUGGAAUAAAUAUAUUUUCUUUAUUAUUCACUUGUAGAAAUUUUAGGGUAUAAUAAAGGAAUAUGUAUUACUAAAUGUCAGGACAAUUAAUAAAUGUAAUUUCAUAGACUUUAAAGUUACUGAAAAUUUGUGUAUUACAGAACUGACACAAUUGAGAAAUGACCUAAAAUAUGAAUAUGAAUACAUAACAUACAUAACUAAAAAUAUCAUUUAAAGCAAUUAGAGGAGUUUCUGUUGUGGCUCAGUGGUUAACAAAUCUGACUAGGAACCAUGAAGUUGUGGGUUCAAUCCCUGGCCUUGCCCAGUGGGUUGAGGAUCCAGCGUUGCUGAGAGCUGUGGUGUAGGUUGCAGACGCAGCUUGGAUCCUGCAUUGCUGUGGCUCUGGUGUGGGCUGGUAGCUACAGCUCCAAUUGGACCCCUGGCCUGGGAACCUCCGUGUGGGCUGUGGGAGCGGCCCUAGAAAUGCCAAAAAAGACAAAAAAAUAAAUAAAUAAAGCAAUUAGAAAAUACAGUAAUAAUACUGUAUGGAAAAUUUCUUUUGAAUAAAAUCCUGUGAUUAUUUCUACAUUUCAAAAGUGUGAACAUUGUCAGCAGGCUUGGAUAAAGCCAGGCAGAAUAAGCAUACCUAACUUAAUUAUCAGUCCUUAUUUGAAGGCCUGCUAUGUUAUAAGUCUCAUAUCAGGUGAUCACACUGAAAGAGAGAAAAUGUCCAAGGGCACUUUGACUAGAAGAGGUCACAGCCAAGUAAAUAGUUCCAGUAUAAUUUUAUGAACUCUAUGACAUUCAUUUGGAGGCUUUUAUGAUAAUACAUGAAAAGUGAAUUUUUUAUGAAGCAAAAGAAAUAAUGACUGAAGCCCUCUGGAAUGAGCUGUCCCCUCAGCUGAACCGUAAAACUGGAUGGGAAUUGGUCACGUGUACGUGGAAGACGUUCACUUCCCACAGAGGGACCAAUGGGAACUAUCAGAGAGGCUCAAGAAACAGGUCACAUUCAAAGGAUAAAGGUGUCUAUAUGUCAUGAUGUCCAAGAAAGAAAAAGACAAGAGAAAAGCUUGAUAAAGUAGACCUGUUAAGAUCUUAGGGGUCAUGACUGUAGUCACGGCUCAAAACCUGUCACUCUGUUACCUCUCUGAAAUUCCAACUUUCUCCUGGCUACAUACCAGUUCGGUUAGAGGACCAGAUUCAGUAGCCAUAUGGAAUAAACUGAACAUAAUUUCAUGCCAGUGUGCCAGCCUGUGAAUAGCUGCCAUUAAAAAUAUAUACAUAAGUACAAGGCCAAGAACUGCAUCCCACUCUCCAGGCCCAGAAGCCAUAACCUAUAACUGACAGUUCUGCUGAACCACCCAGAGCAUCAUCCCUUUGUUUGAGGCGUCCCACGCCCUGGACUGAGCUCUUUCACCCAAAAGGCUCUAUUAGGAGGCAAACUUCUGAUUGCAGAUGUUUAAACAUGAUUAUCUACAUUACUAUGGAUAGCUCUUUAUCACCUAUCUAUCAAGUAAAAACCUGAAUGAGAGCUGGGGUAUCUCCACUGUAUAUAACUAUGUCCAUGGUAAAAUGUGAUUUUACUAUUAGUUUUAUUCUAUUAUUUUUAACACAUUUAAAAAUAAUACUUUUUUCUUUUUUUUGUUUUUAUAAGGGCCACACCCUGAGGCACAUGGAAGUUCCCAGGCUAGAGGUCGAAUCAGAACUACACUGCCGGCCUACACCACAGCCACAGCAAUGCGAGAUCUGAGUGAGCCACUUCUGUGACCUACACCAUAGCCCAUGGCAAUGCCAGAUCCUUAAUCCGCUGAGCAAGACCAGGGAUGGAACCCACAUCUUCAUGGAUCCUAGUCGGGGCCAUUAAUUGCUGAGCCAUGAAAGGAACUCCCAAUACUAAAAUAUUUAAAUAAAUAUUUUGAACAUUUGAGUAGUAUCAUUUAUAACUGACUUUAAAAUUUUGAAUUUUGUCCUAGUUUUUCUGUUGUGUCUAAAUGGGGAGUGGAAAGAACCAUAUGAACAUUUUCACAAAAUGGCUAAAUAGUAAAAUGAUCAACUGCUGCUGUAAGGAGUAAUGCUCCAGUGGAUACCCAGGAGUCUCUAAACCAACAACAUUCAACAAAAAAGCAGACCAUCCACAACUGGGUUGGGCACUGUGACCAUCCAUGAAAUUUCCCAAACCACAGAAUUCUAACUCAGUCCCCCAAACCAAACUAGGUGUUUGUAUUUCAGUGAGUGUCUCCAGUGUUGUCAAUACUGCACAUACAUGGACUGUCAUGUGAGACCACAUUUAUAGGGCUUACCUUCUCAGUUCAGAUCUAAACCAGGAAAUUAGUUUUAUAUUUCAAUAUAGUACUGAUACUUAAAGUGUGCACUGAAAUUUUGUUUAGUUCCAACUAGAGACAAAAGCCCAAUGU